UCAGUCAGGCUCCUGGCUAAUGUCCAGCUAUUACCUGGAUUUAGCCCAAUUCUGGCUCUUA
This is a microRNA precursor of Cricetulus griseus (Chinese hamster), 61 nucleotides long. The record is from Ensembl. NCBI's taxonomy places the organism in Eukaryota, Metazoa, Chordata, Mammalia, Rodentia, Cricetidae.